Anneissia japonica is the source of this 1102-nucleotide long non-coding RNA. RefSeq lists it as uncharacterized. NCBI's taxonomy places the organism in Eukaryota, Metazoa, Echinodermata, Crinoidea, Comatulida, Comatulidae. The transcript has 4 exons. The record is from RefSeq and is a predicted model, not a curated record.
GUUAUUUUUCUGUAGAGCAGCAUGUUGGCUCAGUCGGCAAGAAUGUUAAGAAGCAGUGGUGUUCAGCUUCAGGAUGAGUAGUAAAAUUGAGAGAGUGGAUAGUAACAUAAGAAUACAGUGUGCUGGCUCUUUUUUGACUCAUUUGCAUAAUUCACUAGACAAUGGCCUCAUCACAAUGAUGUAAUGAUAAUGAAUAUUCAUAGUCAGGAAACUGCAGAAAUGACACCACAGCAAAAGCAACUUCUUGACAGCAUAUAUAUCUUCAGCAUGUAUAUCCAGGUAGCGCCUGGAUUACAAUGCAGUGAGUCUAGCAUGUGUAGCAUCCUACUGGCUGACUGUCCAGAUUUGUACUCAUUUGCAUAAUUCACUGGACCAUGGCCUCAUCACAAUGAUAAUUAAUAUUUAUUGUCAGACACUUAAAACUACAAAAGUCAGGAAACUGCUGAAAUGACACCACAGCAAAAGCAACUUCUUGAUAGCACAUUUCUUCAACGGGAUUGAAGGUAGCACGUGGGUUUCACCAGAGCAAAUUUCGCAUGUGUAACAUCCUAGCGCUUGGAUAGGCUGUCCAGAUGUGGACCAACAUUUUAAAACUCUUUGCUAGUUGACUCAUUUGCAUAAUUCACUGGACCAUAGCCUCAUCAGAAUGAUGUAAUGAUAAUGAAUAUUCAUUGUCAAACACUUAAAACUACAAAAGUCAGGAAACUGCUGAAAUGACACCACAGCAAAAGCAACUUCUUGAUAGCACAUUUCUUCAACGGGAUCGAAGGUAGCACAUGGGUUUCACCGGAGCAAAUUUCGCAUGUGUAACAUCCUAGCGCUUGGAUAGGCUGACUGUCCAGAUGUGGACCAACAUUUUAAAACUCUUUGCUAGUUGACUCAUUUGCAUAAUUCACUGGACCAUGGCCUCAUCAGAAUGAUGUAAUGAUAAUGAAUAUUCAUUGUCAUACACUUAAAACUACAAAAGGAAACUGCUGCAAUGACACCACAGCAAAAGCAGCUUCUAAUAGCAUAUAUCUUCAGCGGCAGCAAAUUUCGCAUGUGUAACAUCCUAGCUCUUGGAUAGGCUGACUGUCCAGAUGUGGACCAACAUUUUAAAAGU